CCUGGCUCACGAUGAACGCUAGCUACAGGCUUAACACAUGCAAGUCGAGGGGCAGCAUGGUCUUAGCUUGCUAAGGCCGAUGGCGACCGGCGCACGGGUGAGUAACACGUAUCCAACCUGCCGUCUACUCUUGGACAGCCUUCUGAAAGGAAGAUUAAUACAAGAUGGCAUCAUGAGUCCGCAUGUUCACAUGAUUAAAGGUAUUCCGGUAGACGAUGGGGAUGCGUUCCAUUAGAUAGUAGGCGGGGUAACGGCCCACCUAGUCUUCGAUGGAUAGGGGUUCUGAGAGGAAGGUCCCCCACAUUGGAACUGAGACACGGUCCAAACUCCUACGGGAGGCAGCAGUGAGGAAUAUUGGUCAAUGGGCGAGAGCCUGAACCAGCCAAGUAGCGUGAAGGAUGACUGGCCUAUGGGUUGUAAACUUCUUUUAUAAAGGAAUAAAGUCGGGUAUGGAUACCCGUUUGCAUGUACUUUAUGAAUAUAGGAUCGGCUAACUCCGUGCCAGCAGCCGCGGUAAUACGGAGGAUCCGAGCGUUAUCCGGAUUUAUGGGUUUAAAGGGAGCGUAGAUGGAUGUUUAAAUCAGUUGUGAAAGUUUGCGGCUCAACCGUAAAAUUGCAGUUGAUACUGGAUAUCUUGAGUGCAGUUGAGGCAGGCGGAAUUCGUGGUGUAGCGGUGAAAUGCUUAGAUAUCACGAAGAACUCCGAUUGCGAAGGCAGCCUGCUAAGCUGCAACUGACAUUGAGGCUCGAAAGUGUGGGUAUCAAACAGGAUUAGAUACCCUGGUAGUCCACACGGUAAACGAUGAAUACUCGCUGUUUGCGAUAUACUGCAAGCGGCCAAGCGAAAGCGUUAAGUAUUCCACCUGGGGAGUACGCCGGCAACGGUGAAACUCAAAGGAAUUGACGGGGGCCCGCACAAGCGGAGGAACAUGUGGUUUAAUUCGAUGAUACGCGAGGAACCUUACCCGGGCUUAAAUUGCAGAUGAAUUACGGUGAAAGCCGUAAGCCGCAAGGCAUCUGUGAAGGUGCUGCAUGGUUGUCGUCAGCUCGUGCCGUGAGGUGUCGGCUUAAGUGCCAUAACGAGCGCAACCCUUGUUGUCAGUUACUAACAGGUUCCGCUGAGGACUCUGACAAGACUGCCAUCGUAAGAUGUGAGGAAGGUGGGGAUGACGUCAAAUCAGCACGGCCCUUACGUCCGGGGCUACACACGUGUUACAAUGGGGGGUACAGAGGGCCGCUACCACGCGAGUGGAUGCCAAUCCCCAAAACCUCUCUCAGUUCGGACUGGAGUCUGCAACCCGACUCCACGAAGCUGGAUUCGCUAGUAAUCGCGCAUCAGCCACGGCGCGGUGAAUACGUUCCCGGGCCUUGUACACACCGCC
This 1381-nucleotide ribosomal RNA is filed under the name uncultured bacterium. RNAcentral describes it as "bacterial SSU rRNA". It matches the Rfam family "Bacterial small subunit ribosomal RNA", at positions 18 to 1394 of the family's 1533-position model. The record is from RNAcentral.